This is a long non-coding RNA of Epinephelus moara (kelp grouper), 532 nucleotides long. RefSeq lists it as uncharacterized. NCBI's taxonomy places the organism in Eukaryota, Metazoa, Chordata, Actinopteri, Perciformes, Serranidae. The transcript has 3 exons. The record is from RefSeq and is a predicted model, not a curated record.
GAUGAUUUCACCAUCUGUUUUGUAGAAGCAGUGCUGGUGAAAAGAAAAGGUUAUGAUUUAACACUGUGAUUUAUUUUAUCAUUGUCAUUUUAGUAUAUUUUUCCUGUCUGUCUUCUUAGAUCACCUGUGGCUGCUGGAAGUGGCAAUCAAACAGGAUGGGGGUGUUUCCUGGGACGACUCCCUGGUCCAAACAGUGGCUCCUAAAAAGGGUGCUCUGCAGCUGCACAGCUCACUGCCAUGAGAGAUGCAAGCGGGACGAGAUGUGAGGACAGAGGAGCUGACAUCAGUUACUUAUGACCCAUCAUUUUAGGCAGAAUCUUCGCACCCUACUCCACCCCGGUCACCUCCAGCCAUCGUAUCCAGAGUUCAGGUCAGGCUCUCAAAGACUAAUUCCUCUACUCAUCCAGAUCAUCGGCACUUCUCCAUCUUCCUCUCAUCUCAUCUUCACCACCUCUACCACCACCAGUGUCUGGGUUCCCUAUUCAACUAUGGAUUCUUCACCCUCCUUAAAUCAAACCAUCUCUACGGGGUC